AUUUAAAUAGUUUAAUGAAAACUUUGAUUUGUGAGGUCAAGAAUAUAUUUUAUAUUUUAAAUA
This 63-nucleotide transfer RNA is filed under the name Ceratosolen solmsi. Its description in RNAcentral is "tRNA-His". Lineage: Eukaryota; Metazoa; Arthropoda; Insecta; Hymenoptera; Agaonidae. The record is from RNAcentral.